UGGCGGACGGGUGAGUAACGCGUGGAUAACCUGCCGUAUACCGGGGGAUAACACUUAGAAAUAGGUGCUAAUACCGCAUAAGCGCACGGCUCCGCAUGGGGCAGUGUGAAAAAUUCCGGUGGUAUACGAUGGAUCCGCGUCUGAUUAGCUAGUUGGCGGGGUAACGGCCCACCAAGGCAGCGAUCAGUAGCCGGCCUGAGAGGGUGGACGGCCACAUUGGGACUGAGACACGGCCCAAACUCCUACGGAAGGCAGCAG
This 258-nucleotide ribosomal RNA is filed under the name uncultured bacterium. RNAcentral's name for it is "partial 16S ribosomal RNA". It matches the Rfam family "Bacterial small subunit ribosomal RNA", at positions 96 to 354 of the family's 1533-position model. The record is from RNAcentral.